Molecule: unclassified non-coding RNA, 337 nt
Filed under: soil metagenome
Description: partial contains 5.8S ribosomal RNA, internal transcribed spacer 2, and large subunit ribosomal RNA
Rfam family: 5.8S ribosomal RNA (bases 1-120)
Source: RNAcentral
GAUGAAGAACGCAGCGAAAUGCGAUAAGUAGUGUGAAUUGCAGAAUUCAGUGAAUCAUCGAAUCUUUGAACGCACAUUGCGCCCCUUGGUAUUCCAUGGGGCAUGCCUGUUCGAGCGUCAUUUGUACCUUCAAGCCUUGCUUGGUGUUGGGUGUUUGUCUCGCCUCUGCGCGCAGACUCGCCUCAAAACAAUUGGCAGCCGGCGUAUUGAUUUCGGAGCGCAGUACAACUCGCGCUUUGCACUCAGAACGACGACGUCCAAAAGUACAUUUUUACACUCUUGACCUCGGAUCAGGUAGGGACACCCGCUGAACUUAAGCAUAUCAAUAAGCGGAGGA